GGCGGAAUGCUUUACACAUGCAAGUCGAGCGGCAGCGCGGGGCAACCUGGCGGCGAGCGGCGAACGGGUGAGUAAUACAUCGGAACAUGUCCAUUUGUGGGGGAUAGCCCGGCGAAAGCCGGAUUAAUACCGCAUGAGCCCGAGAGGGGAAAGCGGGGGACUUCGCAAGAGGCCUCGCGCGAAUGGUUUGGCCGAUGUCCGAUUAGCUAGUUGGUGGGGUAAAGGCCUACCAAGGCGAUGAUCGGUAGCUGGUCUGAGAGGAUGAUCAGCCACACUGGGACUGAGACACGGCCCAGACUCCUACGGGAGGCAGCAGUGGGGAAUUUUGGACAAUGGGGGCAACCCUGAUCCAGCCAUUCCGCGUGAGUGAAGAANGCCUUCGGGUUGUNAAGCUCUUUUGUCCGGAACGAAACGGGUAGCGUGAAUAUCGCUGCCUACUGACGGUACCGGAAGAAUAAGCACCGGCUAACUACGUGCCAGCAGCCGCGGUAAUACGU
This 497-nucleotide ribosomal RNA is filed under the name uncultured beta proteobacterium. Its description in RNAcentral is "bacterial SSU rRNA". It matches the Rfam family "Bacterial small subunit ribosomal RNA", at positions 38 to 528 of the family's 1533-position model. Lineage: Bacteria; Pseudomonadati; Pseudomonadota; Betaproteobacteria. The record is from RNAcentral.